Manis pentadactyla (Chinese pangolin) is the source of this 391-nucleotide long non-coding RNA. RefSeq lists it as uncharacterized. The transcript is spliced from 3 exons. The record is from RefSeq and is a predicted model, not a curated record. Lineage: Eukaryota; Metazoa; Chordata; Mammalia; Pholidota; Manidae.
AGUAGUGAGGUCCUCACACAAGAAGCCAAACUGCUGUGGAGCUGUUUUGCAUUGUUGAUGUGGCAAAUCUGGAAGAUUCAUAGGACAAGUACAGGAAGUUGGUGUAUGCCAUAACCAUGAGCAUCAAACUUUCAUAAUGCUAUGUGGCUUACAUUUCUUACAAUACCACUGACUUUUGGGCAAACAAGUGUGGACUCAAUCCUCCUUGAGAAGGAAUCAAAGUAGGAGGCUGUGUGAAGUUGACCAAGUAUGCAGUGCUCUCUUGGGGAAGGCCCUGUAACAUCUUAUCAAUUGUUGGGAAAGGCAACAUCAUCUUUUAAUGAAGAAUCUGGGAUGGUACAGAGAAAGUGGUUUAUUUUCUGGAGAAAGCAGUAAGGUCAACUCCAGCUCA